AUAGUGACGUGUGAGGAUUGAUAUCCCUUGGGACCUAUUGCAUGUAAUGGCUCUUUUAAUAUCCUACUAGGGAAUACCCUUGAGUGUUUUCUUCUGGAGCCCAACUUUUUCUUUGUGUUUCUUUCCGGAUAUGACGCUGUUGUAUGGACAUUCUGAGAGGGUGAGAUAUAUUUGUUUUGAAAUUUUGGAACUUGUAGCCUGUACUUUGUUUCUGAACGUGCAGAGCAUGAUGGCAGCAUCUGAGGUCGCUGGCGUGGUGGCCACUGCUCCCAGUCCUCCGGAAUCCUCGUCUAGUGUAUGUGCUUCCAAACCAGACGAAGUUCUCCCAGAUGGUCUAAGCCCCAAAGACCCUGCACAGAAGCACAAGAACUCGCCUCUGUCGAGUGUAAGUAACCAAACGAUAACCAAGGAGAAUAACAGAAAUGCCCAUUUGGAACACCCAGAGCAGAAUCCUGGUUCAUCAGCAGGUGACACUUCAGCAGCGCACCGGGCGGUUUUAGGAGAAAACUUGAUAGCCACGGCCCUUUGUCUCUCUGGCGGUGGGUCUCAGUCUGAUUUGAAGGACGUGGCCAGCACAGCGGGAGAGGAGGGGGACACACGCCUCCGGGAGAGCCUCCACCCCGCCACUCGGUCUCUUAAGGCAGGGUGCGAUACAAAGCAGCUUGCCUCCGGGAAUUGUCCUGAAGAGAAGGCCCCGCAAGCCUCCAUCCUAAAGGAAGGGAGCAGGGACACAGGCUUGGAUUUCCCACCUGUGGUGCCUCCAGCAAAUGGGGUUGAAGGAGUCAGAGUGGAUCAGGAUGAUGAUCAGGAUAGCUCUUCCCUGAAGCUUUCUCAGAACAUUGCCGUCCAGACUGACUUUAAGACGGCUGAUUCAGAGGUAAACACAGAUCAAGAUAUUGAAAAGAAUCUGGAUAAAAUGAUGACAGAGAGAACCCUGUUGAAGGAGCGUUACCAGGAGGUCCUGGACAAGCAGAGGCAAGUGGAGAAUCAGCUCCAAGUGCAAUUAAAGCAACUUCAGCAAAGGAGAGAAGAAGAAAUGAAGAAUCACCAGGAGAUAUUAAAGGCUAUCCAGGACGUAACAAUAAAGCGAGAAGAAACGAAGAAGAAGAUAGAGAAAGAAAAGAAGGAGUUUUUGCAGAAGGAGCAGGAUCUGAAAGCUGAAAUUGAGAAGCUUUGUGAGAAGGGCAGAAGAGAAGUGUGGGAAAUGGAACUGGAUAGACUCAAGAAUCAAGAUGGUGAAAUAAAUCGGAACAUUAUGGAAGAGACAGAACGUGCCUGGAAGGCAGAGAUCUUAUCACUAGAGAGUCGGAAAGAGUUGUUGGUAUUGAAACUAGAAGAAGCAGAAAAAGAGGCAGAACUGCACCUUACUUACCUCAAGUCAACUCCCCCAACAUUAGAGACAGUUCGUUCCAAACAGGAGUGGGAGACAAGACUGAAUGGAGUUCGGAUAAUGAAAAAGAAUGUUCGGGACCAAUUUAAUAGUCAUAUCCAGCUAGUGAGGAAUGGAGCCAAGCUGAGCAGCCUUCCUCAGAUCCCGACUCCCACUUUGCCUCCACCCCCAUCAGAGACAGACUUCAUGCUUCAGGUGUUUCAACCCAGUCCCUCUCUGGCUCCUCGGAUGCCUUUCUCCAUUGGGCAGGUCACAAUGCCCAUGGUUAUGCCCAGUGCAGAUCCCCGUUCCUUGUCUUUCCCGAUCCUGAACUCUGCCCUUUCCCAGCCCAACCAGCCUUCCCCACCCCUUCCUGGCUCCCAUGGGAGAAAUAGCCCUGGCUUGGGUUCCCUUGUCGGCCCCCAUGGUCCACACGUGCCCCCUGCCGCCUCCAUCCCACCUCCCCCAGGCUUGGGUGGUGUUAAGGCUUCUACUGAAACUACCCGGCCCCAACCAGUAGACAAACUGGAGAAGAUUCUGGAGAAGCUGCUGACUCGGUUUCCACAAUGCAAUAAGGCCCAGAUGACCAACAUCCUUCAGCAGAUCAAGACAGCACGCACCACCAUGGCGGGCCUGACCAUGGAGGAGCUGAUCCAGCUGGUAGCUGCGCGACUGGCAGAGCACGAGCGGGUGGCAGCAAGUACUCAGAUGUUCCUCCCUCACUGUGACAACGUUUCUGCCCACAGCCCCUUGGUCGGAUCCGGGCCCUGUUCCCUGCUCCAUUGGCCCAAAUCAGUACCCCAAUGUUCUUGCCUUCUGCCCAAGUUUCAUAUCCUGGGAGGUCUUCACAUGCUCCAGCCACCUGUAAACUGUGUCUAAUGUGCCAGAAACUUGUCCAGCCCAGUGAGCUGCACCCAAUGGCAUGCACCCAUGUGCUGCACAAGGAGUGUAUCAAAUUCUGGGCCCAGACCAACACAAAUGACACUUGUCCCUUUUGUCCAACUCUUAAAUGACGGACCUGACUGGGGAGGAAGAAGAGGAGAAACUGAUGUGAACAGGAAGCGCGGGUUCAAGAUUUCUAAAACUCUAUAUUUAUACAGUGACAUAUACUCAUGCCAUGUACAUUUUUAUUAUACAGGUAAUGUGUGUAUAGAAAGUCUGUAUCCAGAUGUUCGUAAAUGAAAGUAUGUAUAUUAUGCAGAAAUGGUCUGUCCCCCUCACCUUUCAAUUCCUCUGGGGGAAGCAGAUUGUAGGUAAGAUGGUAUUUAAUUUGGCCUUGAAAUUAUGAUAUUCCUGCCUAGGGCUGUUUUCAGAUGCAAUAUAAAAACCAUCUAGGAAGCUGCUCUUGCUCUAAGGCCACCCUGCUCUGAUUUGGCUCAGCCUCUAGUCCAUUUUCUUAAGGCUCAUGUACGCCGAUUUGAACCCUGGUGCUCACCUGCUGUCCAGCCAGAUGCCUUGCUUAUUGAAAGCCUCCGGAAGCCUCAGUGCUAUUCUAGCCCCUCUACUCCAAAUGGAGAAAAUGAGACUGAUUGAGGAAAAAAUAUAUAACCCUGAUAGUUUGAUUUUUCGUUGAACAUUUUACUGUGUUAACACUCAUUAUUUGUACAUAGACAUUAGGUUUACAGAAUAGUCUGUUUACAUCAGCAAAAUUCACAGUCCAAGAAUAACAACAUAACCAGGUCCCGUUUCCCCCAUGCCUCCACAAACUUCUGUCCACCCUACUUCCUGGAUAGUCAUCUCUUUAGAAACUAGCAUAGCCCACAGGUCUUUCCUGGGCCAAGCCAUCCCUUUCCACCACUGACUUGGCUUCUGAUCAAGCUUUCACAGACCAACCUUGUGAAGUCCUCACCGCUUCCCCUUCACUUCUGGUCUUCUAGUCUAGCUAUCUCCCCUCCCCUUGAAGGUUAAGGCAGUUGGUUCACAACCAAGUUGUUUGGUGACCUUGGGUGAGUUCCAUGCAGGCACUGGGGUGAGGAGAUGUCUGUGCAAAAUUCCUUUCAGGAUGAUCUUGGGAUAUGGGUUUGAAUUUUUGAAGCAAGAAAGCUAUGGGGGACAUGCUUCCUGUCCUGGGACAAAUGGAGACCAAAGUGCUAUGAAGAAGGGAGGUUAGAUUUCAGGUUUAUAAGUCACUUGUUCUAUGGGUAGCUGUCUGGAGCGAGGUCAUUUUUCCACCUCUGCUUAUUGAGCACUUCCAGUUUCUAGGUUUAUACCUGGGAAAGCUGCGUUUCUAUUAGAGCUUUGAAUCCUUUCCUGUCGCUUUAUCUUUACUCCUAAUGGAAAUGGCUUCAGCUCCCUUCUCUUUUGGAAUUAAACAAGUAAAAAUUAAGCAGUAAUAAAAAAAAUUAGGUCCAGGAAAGGAUAUUAUUAUAUUACCAACAGGUGAAUUUUUCCCAUUCUGGGACCUGGAAAUGCUUACUCGCACUAGUAGUACAUAUGAGGGUAGCAAAGAUUUUUCCUUUCAGAGCCAAAUAAUUCUCUCCUCUCUGUUUAUGUUACUCUUCCUUGUCUUUCAUCCUUGCCUAUCAGCUCAUGAACAUACUCUUUCUCUUCUCUGGUCUUACUUGUCCCGGUUUAUUGACUGGCAACAGUGUAAGGAAAUGGAUUUCCUGGAUCUCCUUGGCAUGUUGUAGGGUGAUGGAAAUGGCCUGAGUACUCCCCACUGUAGAGGUCAGAUGACCCACUUUCUUUGGUUAAUGAAAUAUUAAUGACUCUAGUUUGGUAGCCAUCAUGAACAGGGAAUGUGGCAAAAUGGAAGACCAGUUCCUUUGUUCUUUUCAUUUGGUGGGGGGGGGGAUUCAUUUUUUAUCUUGUAAUCUUAAGAUUUUAUCUCCCCUUAACUUUGCAGCAGCCUUUGGGCCACUUGCAGUAUUUUUCAGUAUCCAAUGAAAAUAUAGAAAUAAGAAGUGGGUCUAAAAAAUAUCCUGUUUCUUUUCUACAAAUCUUUGACACCAAAGGAGUAAAGAGAAAACAGGAGGGGAUGGGGGGCUUAACUGCUUCCUAGUGAAAGCCCCUGGAAACCAGCUGCAGCAGGAAGACAGUGUGGUGGAGGGUGUGCAUGGGGGCCGGGACUCAUCGUCGCUCUUUGCUCUUUCUUGUUCAGGAUCAAUCUGAAAGCAACAGUUAAGUUUUGGCCACCCUUGUUCUCCCUUUUCCCUCUGUUCACUGGCCUGCACUGGUACAAGCUGUGCAGACCCCUGGGGAAGGCCCCUGAUGCAGGGAGUGGAGAUGGGACAGUCAUUUUUCUGGCAUAGAAUUUAAAAAUAGAAAUAUAGAAUACAUAUUUUUACAAGGAAGAAGCUGUUGUCUAGAUUUUUGUUUUACACUUCAGAGUUCACGGUUUCGGGGUAGAAAGGAAGAAACUGUUAAAAGAAAAAUAAGUACAAGUUUUCUCUUUCAAAGAAAAAAAUAGGACAAUGAGACUUACUAAGGAAGGGGUGGAGUUUUAUACCCUGGAAAGAGCUGGGGAAAAACCAGUUUUCCCCAACGUGGGUCGAAAUUAUAAAGUGGAAUGUGGCAUUUUCAUUUCACGGUAGCGGUUCUGGAAGUUUAUUUACACAGUAAGUUCCAAGCUGGAAAUGGACAGUCUCCAGUCUUCCUGUCAGUCUCUGUGGUUAUGGGGUGUUCCCCGUCAGCCAGAGCAGCACCAGGUGCAGUGGGAAUGAAGAGGACUCAGAUAAAAAACUGCGACUCAGUAUUCUUGUUUUAUUGGUUUAUGGCUUGUGGGCAGCUGGCCGAGGCCAGGAUCUCCAGAGGCCCUCUUUGUAUUUCCCUCUCCCUCAUCAGGUAAUUCUACACUGUGCGGGUCCCAUACCUGGAAGCAGUGUGUUGACCAGAGAGGAAUAGGAUCCAGUGGAAUAGUAAGAAAAUUCAGCUCUUCCCAUUAACACUGGUAUCACAGUCGACUGGCUUAGAACUGAUAGGGAGGAAAUGAACUUGGUCCCCACUGUCUAGCCCAAGAACCAGCCUGGGUACCCAAGUACUAUUAGGAGUGGGGAAUAAAAAGCAGGAUGGGCCUCCGUCAAGGGGCUCUUGUGGUGAAGGGAAUUAGGAAGCCCGGAGGCUGUCAUCCUUUUUCCACGCAGCCUUGAUACUGAAUGCGAUGCUGGUGGAGCCAGAAAGCCCUGUGUUCCUGACAUUCGUGGUAUAAUACUAGUGCCACUGUGGGAUGCCUUAGCCAAAUAAAUGAGGGAGACCUUAGAGACAGGGAGAAGGCGAUGAAACUGCUCUGUAUUAUGUCAAGAUCUUACUACCACUUACAGCUGAACAGGAAGAAAUCCAGGCAGGGGGUAUAGGGCAUCAACUCUAUCCCUGUUGAAUGAAUCUUCAAGAGUCUGCUUUCAAGGAUUAGAUAGGAGAGGUUUCCUAUCUAUUCUUAGCACCUCAGCUACAAAGCUCUGGAGAAAUAGGACUGGGGGAGGGGGUGAACAGGUAGCCAGGAAGACAAAGUGCAGACCUGUUAUAUUUGCUCUAUUCCGGCUGCUUUCCCAUAGGGCACCUGGGGCUUCCAGGGUUGGGGAUGUUUCAGUGCUACCAGUCACGUGUACAGUAGAAGGUUCAGGUAGGGACAAGGAAUUAAUAAGGUAGAAAUUCAUUUGUUAGAUGGAACGUUUUAGUGGGCACUUUUCCUUUAAGAGAGUUAAAAAGAGCUUUUUGGCUAGAGAAGCCCUCCUUCCCAUCGCACUUUUGGUCAGGCUGCAACCACAGAAAAGAAGACAUUGGGAAGCAACACCCAUCUUAGAAGGUGGGAUUCUAUCUUGGAGAUGCCGUCUAAAACUGGGACUGGCGAGCGGUCAUGUUCUGGCCUUGCCUCGCUUUGAUCCCAGCUUCCCUGUCUUUGCACUCCUUCUCCUUCUCCUCGUCCAGCCACCCCCAUUUGUACAAAUUAUUUGUACAAAUUAUUUUUAAAUUAUUUUUUAAUUCAAGAGGCAGUCUUUGCACCAAUGUUAUAGGCUUGUCUAUACAGUCCCUAUCUCUAAAGCAGACAGCAAACGGUGCGUCCGUUCCCGCUGACUGUGGCCAGCAGGGAAACAAGAUUGGCUCUUUCUCUGCUAGGGUACUGCAGAGACACACACUGGGGUCACCUUACUUCUGGAACUAAGAAAAGAAGAAUACUUU
Non-coding RNA from Delphinapterus leucas (beluga whale), 6484 nucleotides. Lineage: Eukaryota; Metazoa; Chordata; Mammalia; Artiodactyla; Monodontidae. The record is from RefSeq and is a predicted model, not a curated record.